RNAcentral lists this ribosomal RNA (456 nucleotides) under Abiotrophia defectiva. RNAcentral describes it as "bacterial SSU rRNA". It matches the Rfam family "Bacterial small subunit ribosomal RNA", at positions 28 to 465 of the family's 1533-position model. The record is from RNAcentral. Lineage: Bacteria; Bacillati; Bacillota; Bacilli; Lactobacillales; Aerococcaceae.
GACGAACGCUGGCGGCGUGCCUAAUACAUGCAAGUCGAACGAACCGCGACUGAGUGCUUGCACUUGGUCAAGGUGAGUGGCGAACGGGUGAGUAACACGUGGGUAACCUACCUCAUAGUGGGGGAUAACAGUCGGAAACGACUGCUAAUACCGCAUAGGACAUGGGAUCACAUGAUUCUGUGAGGAAAGGUGGCGCAAGCUAUCGCUAAGAGAUGGACCCGCGGUGCAUUAGCUAGUUGGUAGGGUAACGGCCUACCAAGGCGAUGAUGCAUAGCCGACCUGAGAGGGUGAUCGGCCACAUUGGGACUGAGACACGGCCCAAACUCCUACGGGAGGCAGCAGUAGGGAAUCUUCCGCAAUGGACGCAAGUCUGACGGAGUAACGCCGCGUGAGUGAAGAAGGUCUUCGGAUCGUAAAGCUCUGUUGUUAGAGAAGAACAGCGCAUAGAGUAAACUG